This 73-nucleotide transfer RNA is filed under the name Sus scrofa (pig). It matches the Rfam family "tRNA". Rfam says of the family: Transfer RNA (tRNA) molecules are approximately 80 nucleotides in length. Their secondary structure includes four short double-helical elements and three loops (D, anti-codon, and T loops). The record is from Rfam by way of RNAcentral. Lineage: Eukaryota; Metazoa; Chordata; Mammalia; Artiodactyla; Suidae.
UCCCUGGUGGCCUAGUGGUUAAGGCUGCAGCCCUGUCGCUCCUGUGGCUCUGGUUCGAUCCCUGGCUGGGGAA